AGCUAAUACCGCAUAACGUCGCAAGACCAAAGAGGGGGACCUUCGGGCCUCUUGCCAUCGGAUGUGCCCAGAUGGGAUUAGCUAGUAGGUGGGGUAACGGCUCACCUAGGCGACGAUCCCUAGCUGGUCUGAGAGGAUGACCAGCCACACUGGAACUGAGACACGGUCCAGACUCCUACGGGAGGCAGCAGUGGGGAAUAUUGCACAAUGGGCGCAAGCCUGAUGCAGCCAUGCCGCGUGUAUGAAGAAGGCCUUCGGGUUGUAAAGUACUUUCAGCGGGGAGGAAGGGAGUAAAGUUAAUACCUUUGCUCAUUGACGUUACCCGCAGAAGAAGCACCGGCUAACUCCGUGCCAGCAGCCGCGGUAAUACGGAGGGUGCAAGCGUUAAUCGGAAUUACUGGGCGUAAAGCGCACGCAGGCGGUUUGUUAAGUCAGAUGUGAAAUCCCCGGGCUCAACCUGGGAACUGCAUCUGAUACUGGCAAGCUUGAGUCUCGUAGAGGGGGGUAGAAUUCCAGGUGUAGCGGUGAAAUGCGUAGAGAUCUGGAGGAAUACCGGUGGCGAAGGCGGCCCCCUGGACGAAGACUGACGCUCAGGUGCGAAAGCGUGGGGAGCAAACAGGAUUAGAUACCCUGGUAGUCCACGCCGUAAACGAUGUCGACUUGGAGGUUGUGCCCUUGAGGCGUGGCUUCCGGAGCUAACGCGUUAAGUCGACCGCCUGGGGAGUACGGCCGCAAGGUUAAAACUCAAAUGAAUUGACGGGGGCCCGCACAAGCGGUGGAGCAUGUGGUUUAAUUCGAUGCAACGCGAAGAACCUUACCUGGUCUUGACAUCCACGGAAGUUUUCAGAGAUGAGAAUGUGCCUUCGGGAACCGUGAGACAGGUGCUGCAUGGCUGUCGUCAGCUCGUGCUGUGAAAUGUUGGGUUAAGUCCCGCAACGAGCGCAACCCUUAUCCUUUGUUGCCAGCGGUCCGGCCGGGAACUCAAAGGAGACUGCCAGUGAUAAACUGGAGGAAGGCGGGGAUGACGUCAAGUCAUCAUGGCCCUUACGACCAGGGCUACACACGUGCUACAAUGGCGCAUACAAAGAGAAGCGACCUCGCGAGAGCAAGCGGACCUCAUAAAGUGCGUCGUAGUCCGGAUUGGAGUCUGCAACUCGACUCCAUGAAGUCGGAAUCGCUAGUAAUCGUGGAACAGAAUGCCACGGUGAAUACGUUCCCGGGCCUUGUACACACCGCCCGUCACACCAUGGGAGUGGGUUGCAAAAGAAGUAGGUAGCUUAACCUUCGGGAGGGCGCUUACCACUUUGUGAUUCAUGACUGGGGUGAAGUCGUAACAAGGUA
RNAcentral lists this ribosomal RNA (1341 nucleotides) under metagenome. Its description in RNAcentral is "bacterial SSU rRNA". It matches the Rfam family "Bacterial small subunit ribosomal RNA", at positions 161 to 1498 of the family's 1533-position model. The record is from RNAcentral.